UAGGGAAUCUUCGGCAAUGGACGGAAGUCUGACCGAGCAACGCCGCGUGAGUGAAGAAGGUUUUCGGAUCGUAAAGCUCUGUUGUUAGAGAAGAACGGUGGUAGGAGUGGAAAAUCUACCAAGUGACGGUAACUAACCAGAAAGGGACGGCUAACUACGUGCCAGCAGCCGCGGUAAUACGUAGGUCCCGAGCGUUGUCCGGAUUUAUUGGGCGUAAAGCGAGCGCAGGCGGUUCUUUAAGUCUGAAGUUAAAGGCAGUGGCUUAACCAUUGUACGCUUUGGAAACUGGAGGACUUGAGUGCAGAAGGGGAGAGUGGAAUUCCAUGUGUAGCGGUGAAAUGCGUAGAUAUAUGGAGGAACACCGGUGGCGAAAGCGGCUCUCUGGUCUGUAACUGACGCUGAGGCUCGAAAGCGUGGGGAGCAAACAGGAUUAGAUACCCUGGUAGUCCACGCCGUAAACGAUGAGUGCUAGGUGUUAGGCCCUUUCCGGGGCUUAGUGCCGCAGCUAACGCAUUAAGCACUCCGCCUGGGGAGUACGACCGCAAGGUUG
Molecule: ribosomal RNA, 550 nt
Filed under: uncultured bacterium
Lineage: Bacteria
Description: bacterial SSU rRNA
Rfam family: Bacterial small subunit ribosomal RNA
Source: RNAcentral